This 253-nucleotide ribosomal RNA is filed under the name uncultured bacterium. RNAcentral describes it as "partial 16S ribosomal RNA". It matches the Rfam family "Bacterial small subunit ribosomal RNA", at positions 524 to 776 of the family's 1533-position model. The record is from RNAcentral.
UACGUAGGGGGCAAGCGUUGUCCGGAUUUAUUGGGCGUAAAGAGCGUGUAGGCGGCCAUGUAGGUCCGUUGUGAAAACUCGAGGCUCAACCUCGAGACGCCGAUGGAAACCAUGUGGCUAGAGUCCGGAAGAGGAGAGUGGAAUUCCUGGUGUAGCGGUGAAAUGCGUAGAUAUCUGGAGGAACACCGGUGGCGAAGGCGGCAUCCUGGACCGGUAUUGACGCUGAGGAGCGAAAGCCAGGGGAGCAAACGGG